GGGAGCAUAACUUAAUUGGUAGAGUGUAUGCUUUGCAAGCAUAAAGUUACCGGUUCAAGUCCGGUUGUUUCCA
This 73-nucleotide transfer RNA is filed under the name Eunotia naegelii. RNAcentral describes it as "tRNA-Ala". It matches the Rfam family "tRNA". Rfam says of the family: Transfer RNA (tRNA) molecules are approximately 80 nucleotides in length. Their secondary structure includes four short double-helical elements and three loops (D, anti-codon, and T loops). The record is from RNAcentral. Lineage: Eukaryota; Bacillariophyta; Bacillariophyceae; Eunotiales; Eunotiaceae.